RNAcentral lists this ribosomal RNA (460 nucleotides) under uncultured bacterium. RNAcentral describes it as "partial 16S ribosomal RNA". It matches the Rfam family "Bacterial small subunit ribosomal RNA", at positions 338 to 795 of the family's 1533-position model. The record is from RNAcentral.
CCUACGGGGGACAGCAGUGAGGAAUAUUGGUCAAUGGACGAGAGUCUGAUCCAGCCAAGCAGCGUGAAGGAUGACUGCCUUCUGGGUUGUAAACUUCUUUUAUAAAGGAAUAAAACGAGGCACGUGUGCCUUUUUGCAUGUACUUUAUGAAUAAGGAUCGGCUAACUCCGGGCCAGCAGCCGCGGUAAUACGGAGGAUCCGACGGUUACCCGGAUUUAUUGGGUUUAAAGGGAGCGUAGAUGGGUUGUUAAGUCAGUUGUGAAAGUUUGCGGCUCAACCGUAAGAUUGCAAUGGAUACUGGCAGUCUUGAGUAGAGUUGAGGUAGGCGGAAUUCGUGGUGUAGCGGUGAAAUGCUUAGAUAUCACGAAGAACCCCGAUGGCGAAGGCAGCUUACUAAACUGUGACUGACAUUGAUGCUCGAAAGUGUGGGUAGCAAACAGGAUUAGAUACCCCAGUAGUC